Molecule: ribosomal RNA, 497 nt
Filed under: uncultured bacterium
Lineage: Bacteria
Description: partial 16S ribosomal RNA
Rfam family: Bacterial small subunit ribosomal RNA
Source: RNAcentral
GAUGAACGCUGGCGGCGUGCCUAAUACAUGCAAGUCGAGCGAACAGACGAGGAGCUUGCUCCUCUGACGUUAGCGGCGGACGGGUGAGUAACACGUGGAUAACCUACCUAUAAGACUGGGAUAACUUCGGGAAACCGGAGCUAAUACCGGAGAAUAUAUUGAACCGCAUGGUUCAAUAGUGAAAGACGGUUUUGCUGUCACUUAUAGAUGGAUCCGCGCCGCAUUAGCUAGUUGGUAAGGUAACGGCUUACCAAGGCAACGAUGCGUAGCCGACCUGAGAGGGUGAUCGGCCACACUGGAACGGAGACACGGUCCAGACUCCUACGGGAGGCAGCAGUAGGGAAUCUUCCGCAAUGGGCGAAAGCCUGACGGAGCAACGCCGCGUGAGUGAUGAAGGUCUUCGGAUCGUAAAACUCUGUCAUUAGUGAAGAACAAAUGUGUAAGUAACUAUGCACGUCUUGACGGUACCUAAUCAGAAAGCCACGGCUAACUACGUG